GACGAACGCUGGCGGCGUGCCUAAUACAUGCAAGUUGAGCGAUGAAGCUUGGUGCUUGCACCAAUUUGAAGAGCAGCGAACGGGUGAGUAACGCGUGGGGAAUCUGCCUUUGAGCGGGGGACAACAUUUGGAAACGAAUGCUAAUACCGCAUAACAACUUUAAACAUAAGUUUUAAGUUUGAAAGAUGCAAUUGCAUCACUCAAAGAUGAUCCCGCGUUGUAUUAGCUAGUUGGUGAGGUAAAGGCUCACCAAGGCGAUGAUACAUAGCCGACCUGAGAGGGUGGUCGGCCACAUUGGGACUGAGACACGGCCCAAACUCCUACGGGAGGCAGCAGUAGGGAAUCGUCGGCAAUGGGCGAAAGUCUGACCGGGCAACGCCGCGUGAGUGAAGAAGGUUUUCGGAUCGUAAAACUCUGUUGGUAGAGAAGAACGUUGGUGAGAGUGGAAAGCUCAUCAAGUGACGGUAACUACCCAGAAAGGGACGGCUAACUACGUG
This 497-nucleotide ribosomal RNA is filed under the name uncultured bacterium. RNAcentral's name for it is "partial 16S ribosomal RNA". It matches the Rfam family "Bacterial small subunit ribosomal RNA", at positions 28 to 507 of the family's 1533-position model. The record is from RNAcentral.